This 253-nucleotide ribosomal RNA is filed under the name uncultured bacterium. RNAcentral's name for it is "partial 16S ribosomal RNA". It matches the Rfam family "Bacterial small subunit ribosomal RNA", at positions 524 to 776 of the family's 1533-position model. The record is from RNAcentral.
UACAGAGGUGGCAAGCGUUGUUCGGAAUUACUGGGCGUAAAGGGCGCGUAGGCGGUUCGUUAAGUCCUGUGUGAAAUCCCCCGGCUCAACUGGGGAACUGCACAGGAAACUAGCGGGCUUGAGUUCGGGAGAGGGAAGCGGAAUUCCGGGUGUAGCGGUGAAAUGCGUAGAUAUCCGGAAGAACACCCGUGGCGAAGGCGGUUCUCUGGGACGGUACUGACGCUGAGACGCGAAAGCGUGGGGAGCGAACAGG